AUUAAAUUGAAAAUAGUGGUUGAAAAGUGCGUUUUAAAACAGCUUAAAGAACUUUUAAAAAAAGUAAUAUUAUCGUUGUUUUUUCAAUAAGAUCACAGUUUAUAUAAGUUUUUAAUACACCUGGAAAUACCACAACAAACGAAUCUAUUCACGCGUCGAAUCAUGAUUUUGUUAACAUUCAAAACGCACACACAAAUAAAAACAGGCCUCAGAUUUUAAAUGUAACAUUAAUUAAAAAUCCGAGAUAUCCAAUUAUGAGUGAGUGAAUUAAUUGAGUUUAGUUAUUUAGCUUAGAAAGAAUUUCUUUUAUUUUUGUUAUUAUUGGCAGUAAUCAGAUAAAGCUGUUUUUUUAUCUUAUUCACCUGAUAUCUUACUCUUGCUCAAAGAUUAUUUUGAAAAUGUUGAUUAAAUAAAAUUGUAUUAUUGCA
Long non-coding RNA from Bombyx mori (domestic silkworm), 428 nucleotides. RefSeq lists it as uncharacterized. The transcript is spliced from 2 exons. The record is from RefSeq and is a predicted model, not a curated record. Lineage: Eukaryota; Metazoa; Arthropoda; Insecta; Lepidoptera; Bombycidae.